CCAAGGAGAGAGGUUUGUGUUCCUAGCGGGCUACAGGAAGGUAGCACCUUGGACAAAGCAGUUGCUGGCAGGAACAAUGGAACACAAGAGGGAGCACUUGGCUGGCUGCAGGUCCUGAGAAGAGGGCAAAGAAAGUGCUGGGACCAUGGGGAAAUGCCCCAGGGAAUUUAAGGAGCACUGGUGGAGAAGUUAAAGUAGAGGCAGCUAGAGGCUUCUACCUACAGGACCCCUAGACUGAGACCCAGAGUAGUGGGUAGGCCUGGGUCCCCCUUACUCACCACGGGGAAGUGGCCGGACUAUAGAACUGGGAGAUACUUCUCCCCCAGAAGUGGGGAAAAUAUGGAUGAUGGCACGGCCGGAGGGCUGAGUCAUGAAGGACGCUGCAGUUCCUGGACUGAGGGAGGUCUGCAAGCAGAGACAAAGGUGAGAAAGAGGACGUGCCAGCUAAGAGAGCUAAUCCUCGAGACUACUGGCAGGAGGUGCUGCUCUAAAUCAACUUGCCACCAAAAUCACAUAUCCUGCUAUGGCACAGACACUUAUGAAGACACAGAUCCAAGAGAGGCUGUAUUUCAAAAAUCACAUCAGGAGAGGUGAACAAUGAGUUUCUGCAAAGUACAAAACAUCUCCUGGGAAAAAUCCCAUGGAGAAGUGCAAAAAUCAGAUGGAGAACUGAGGCAAAGAGAAGCUAAGCCCAAGAUCCACAAAGGUACAUAGGUGCCUAAACGACAGGUGUAAGUGCCUAAAUCCCAUUUUUAGGCACCACAGCGAUCCACCCAAUUCCUGCCCAGAUGCCACCUUGGUCAGCACCUAAGAUUUUACAGUCAGUUUCCUAGGUGUCUGUGUUCCUGCCUCUGGGCGUGUUCCCUGCUAGCUCUCUCUAGGCAUCUGGGUGCAUAAUCUCCCACUUGAGCUUUCGAGCGAACCAUGAGCUGGGGGAAGACAGGCACUCACCCACCUAAUUCACAUGCAGGACCUCAGCCAGUAGGUGUGCUCAGAAGCCGCCGAACACCACACAAAGUAGCCGGGGCAGGGAGGAUCUCCCUUAUAAGCUGUAGCUCAGUGGGUAGGGCAUUCACACAGGAGGUGGGAGACCCUCCGUUUAAGUCCCCCGCUCUGCCCAAGGGAUUUGAACAGGGAUCUGCCACUUCAAGUGAAUGCCCUAACCACUGGGCUAUAGGAUAUU
Molecule: long non-coding RNA, 1183 nt
Organism: Dermochelys coriacea (leatherback sea turtle)
Lineage: Eukaryota; Metazoa; Chordata; Testudines; Dermochelyidae
Exons: 3
Source: RefSeq, a predicted model, not a curated record